ACGGAAGGCAGCAGUGGGGAAUAUUGCACAAUGGGCGCAAGCCUGAUGCAGCGAUGCCGCGUGAGGGAAGAAGGUUUUCGGAUUGUAAACCUCUGUCAACAGGGACGAAAAUGACGGUACCUGUGAAGGAAGCUCCGGCUAACUACGUGCCAGCAGCCGCGGUAAUACGUAGGGAGCAAGCGUUAUCCGGAAUUACUGGGUGUAAAGGGAGCGCAGGCGGGAUAGCAAGUCAGCGGUGAAAUGUAUGGGCUUAACCCAUGAACUGCCGUUGAAACUGUUAUUCUUGAGUGGAGUAGAGGCAGGCGGAAUUCCGAGUGUAGCGGUGAAAUGCGUAGAUAUUCGGAGGAACACCAGUGGCGAAGGCGGCCUGCUGGGCUCUAACUGACGCUGAGGCUCGAAAGUGUGGGGAGCAAACAGGAUUAGAUACCCUGGUA
RNAcentral lists this ribosomal RNA (434 nucleotides) under uncultured Ruminococcus sp. RNAcentral describes it as "partial 16S ribosomal RNA". It matches the Rfam family "Bacterial small subunit ribosomal RNA", at positions 341 to 792 of the family's 1533-position model. Lineage: Bacteria; Bacillati; Bacillota; Clostridia; Eubacteriales; Oscillospiraceae. The record is from RNAcentral.